GCGGAAGCUGAGAUCCAUAGCCAGGCCCCAGGUGGAGCUCCGGGAGUCCAAUCGAGUGGGUAUGUGUGCAUGAGUGUAGAAGCCCGCAGAGCCCAGCGACAUCUGAUACCUCCAGAGCUGGAAUAAAGGGCAGUUCUGAGCUACCCAACAUGGGUCCUGGCAACUGAAUCCUGGUCCUCGACAAAUACCGGAAUACAAAUGGAGAGAUCAAAGCAAGAAGUGGCGAGGGAGAGACUCCAUAAGAGAGCAAUCAAGUGACUGUCACACGAACACUCAGG
Molecule: non-coding RNA, 278 nt
Organism: Peromyscus maniculatus bairdii (prairie deer mouse)
Lineage: Eukaryota; Metazoa; Chordata; Mammalia; Rodentia; Cricetidae
Source: RefSeq, a predicted model, not a curated record